This 477-nucleotide ribosomal RNA is filed under the name uncultured bacterium. RNAcentral's name for it is "partial 16S ribosomal RNA". It matches the Rfam family "Bacterial small subunit ribosomal RNA", at positions 28 to 507 of the family's 1533-position model. The record is from RNAcentral.
GAUGAACGCUGGCGGCGUGCCUAACACAUGCAAGUCGAACGGAGUCCAGCCUUUAAGACCUUCGGGUCAAAGAGGGGAAGACUGAGUGGCGGACGGGUGAGUAACACGUGGGCAACCUGGCUCAUAGAGGGGGAUAACAGAGAGAAAUUUCUGCUAAUACCGCAUAAGCACACACUGCCGCAUGGCAGAGGGUGAAAAGAGAAUCGCUAUGAGGUGGACCCGCGUCUGAUUAGCCAGUUGGCAGGGUAAGAGCCUACCAAAGCGACGAUCAGUAGCCGAUCUGAGAGGAUGAACGGCCACAUUGGGACUGAGACACGGCCCAAACUCCUACGGGAGGCAGCAGUGGGGAUAUUGCACAAUGGGGGGAACCCUGAUGCAGCGACGCCGCGUGAGUGAAGAAGUAUUUCGGUAUGUAAAGCUCUAUCAGCAGGGAAGAUAAUGACAGUACCUGAAUAAGAAGCCCCGGCUAACUACGUG